Molecule: non-coding RNA, 270 nt
Organism: Pelobates cultripes (western spadefoot toad)
Lineage: Eukaryota; Metazoa; Chordata; Amphibia; Anura; Pelobatidae
Source: the annotation of a GenBank genome assembly
AGUCUGUGGAUCAAAUGGCUUUAUCUAUAGAAGCUAAGAAAGCAUUAUGGUUCCGUUUCUGGGAUGAUGACUCAUCCUCAAAGUCUGCCCUCUACACCAUUCUAUUUGAAGGGGUGGUGCUGUUUGGGGAAAACUUUGGAUAAUUCCAUUGAAAAGGCGAAUGAGCGCUGCAAAAUAUUGGUACCUUAGGAUGGAAGUUCCAAGGAUCCCAGCUCCUCAUAGUCUGACCGGAGAACCUCCAGUGACCAGUAUUUCUGAGAUACAUGAAGC